CAGGCCUAACACAUGCAAGUCGAACGCCCCGCAAGGGGAGUGGCAGACGGGUGAGUAACACGUGGGAACGUACCCUUCGGUUCGGAACAACUCUGGGAAACUAGAGCUAAUACCGGAUACGAUCGCAAGAUGAAAGGUUCACCGCCGAGGGAUCGGCCCGCGUCUGAUUAGCUAGUUGGUGAGGUAACGGCUCACCAAGGCGACGAUCAGUAGCUGGUCUGAGAGGAUGAUCAGCCACAUUGGGACUGAGACACGGCCCAAACUCCUACGGGAGGCAGCAGUGGGGAAUAUUGGACAAUGGGCGCAAGCCUGAUCCAGCCAUGCCGCGUGAGUGAUGACGGCCCUAGGGUUGUAAAGCUCUUUUACCUGGGAAGAUAAUGACGGUACCAGGAGAAUAAGCCCCGGCUAACUUCGUGCCAGCAGCCGCGGUAAU
This 433-nucleotide ribosomal RNA is filed under the name uncultured bacterium. RNAcentral's name for it is "bacterial SSU rRNA". It matches the Rfam family "Bacterial small subunit ribosomal RNA", at positions 43 to 524 of the family's 1533-position model. The record is from RNAcentral.